GACGAACGCUGGCGGCGUGCUUAACACAUGCAAGUCGAACGGAAAGGCCCUGCUUUUGUGGGGUGCUCGAGUGGCGAACGGGUGAGUAACACGUGAGUAACCUGCCCUUGACUUUGGGAUAACUUCAGGAAACUGGGGCUAAUACCGGAUAGGAGCUCCUGCUGCAUGGUGGGGGUUGGAAAGUUUCGGCGGUUGGGGAUGGACUCGCGGCUUAUCAGCUUGUUGGUGGGGUAGUGGCUUACCAAGGCUUUGACGGGUAGCCGGCCUGAGAGGGUGACCGGCCACAUUGGGACUGAGAUACGGCACAGACUCCUACGGGAGGCAGAAGUGGGGAAUAUUGCAAAAUGGGCGGAAGCCUGAUGCAGCAACGACGCGUGCGGGAUGACGGCCUUCGGGUUGUAAACCGCUUUCGCCUGUGACGAAGCGUGAGUGACGGUAAUGGGUAAAGAAGCACCGGCUAACUACGUG
RNAcentral lists this ribosomal RNA (468 nucleotides) under uncultured bacterium. Its description in RNAcentral is "partial 16S ribosomal RNA". It matches the Rfam family "Bacterial small subunit ribosomal RNA", at positions 28 to 507 of the family's 1533-position model. The record is from RNAcentral.